UCACUUAUCGCGUUACCUCGGCACAGAGGUUCGACCCCCUACACCCAGUGAACAUCGUUUACVGCGUGGACUACCAGGGUAUCUAAUCCUGUUCGCUCCCCACGCUUUCGAGCUUUAGCGUCAGUAUCUGUCCAGUGAGCGGUCUUCACUAUCGGCAUUCCUACAAAUAUCUACGAAUUUCACCUCUACACUUGUAGUUCCGCCCACCUCUCCAGUACUCUAGCCUGCCAGUUUCAAACGCAAUACGGAGUUGAGCCCCGCAUUUUCACAUCUGACUUAACAAGCCGCCUAGACUCGCUUUACGCCCAAUAAUUCCGGAUAACGCUUGCGACAUACGUAUUACCGCGGCUGCUGGCACGUAUUUAGCCGUCGCUUCUUCUGGUGGUACCGUCACUUUCUUCUUCCCACCUGAAAGCACUUUACAAUCCGAAGACCUUCAUCGUGCACACAGAAUUGCUGGAUCAGACUUUUGGUCCAUUGUCCAAUAUUCCCCACUGCUGCCUCCCGUAGAGUAAGGGCCGUGUCUCAGUCCCCUUGUGGCCGUUCACCCUCUCAGGCCGGCUAUCCAUCGUCGCCUUGGUAGGCAUUACCCUACCAACUAGCUAAUGGAACGCAAAGUUCUCCUCCAGCGCAUAUAGCUUUCAUAAGUCCUCGAUGCCGAGGUCUCAUAAUAUCCGGUAUUAGCUAA
Molecule: ribosomal RNA, 688 nt
Filed under: bacterium N50X
Lineage: Bacteria
Description: partial 16S ribosomal RNA
Source: RNAcentral